Molecule: ribosomal RNA, 497 nt
Filed under: uncultured bacterium
Lineage: Bacteria
Description: partial 16S ribosomal RNA
Rfam family: Bacterial small subunit ribosomal RNA
Source: RNAcentral
GAUGAACGCUGGCGGCGUGCCUAAUACAUGCAAGUCGAGCGAACGGACGAGAAUCUUGCUUCUCUGAUGUUAGCGACGGACGGGUGAGUACCACGUGGAUAACCUACCUAUCAGACUGGGAUAACUUCUGGAACCCGGAGCUAAUACCGGAUGAUAUUUUGCACCGCAUGGUUCAACAGUGAAAGACUGUCUUGCUGUCACUUCUAUAUGUAUCCGCGCUGCAUUAGCUAGUUGGUAAGGUAACGGCUUACCAAGGCAACGAUGCAUAGCCGACCUGAGAGAGGAAGCGGCGACAGUGGAACAGAGAGACGAGCCAGACUCCGACGGGAGGCAGGAGUAGGGAAUCAUGCGAGAAGGGAGAAAGGAAGACGGAGCAACGCGGCAUGGGUGAUGAAGGUAUUCGGAUCGUAAAACACUAGGAUUAGGGAAGAACAAAUGUGUAAGUAACAGUGGAAAUCUUGACGGUACCUAAGCAGAAAGCCACGGCUAACUACGUG